CUCCCUCAGACCUAUCAGAAUCCUUCCCUAUGCUAAUUGUUGCUUCCCUCCUCAGGAGAAGAACUGUGAGAGGAAAUGAAGUGCAAUGGAGGAAGCUUUGGACUAAGAAUAUGUAGACAUGAAAUCCAGCUCUUACUUUGAUACUUACUAGCUAUGAAAUAUUAAGGCUUACUUAAUACUUCUAAUCCUCAGUUUUCUCAUUUGUGAAACAGAGGUAAUAAUAAUUGUUUUAUUUUACCUGACAAGAUUCUUGUGAAGAAGAAAGGAAGGAAGUAAAGAUAACAGGAAAAGAGGAAGAACAAAAACAAGCAAUGAAAGAAAGAAGGAAAGCAAGAAGGAAGAAAGAAAAAAGGAGGAAGGAGGGAAAGAAAAUAGGAAAGAAGAAAGGAUGAAGAGAAAGAAAGAAAAAGAGAAGGAAUGAGGAAAUAAAGAAAGAAAAAAGGAAGAGAGGAAAGAAGGAGGAAGAAAAAAGGAAGUAAGGAAGUGGAAAAACUGAGGCUUGAAGAGAUGAAGUAAUUUCAUGGUUCCCACAGCUAAAGAUGAGAAGAUUGAAGGCAUGAUGACACAUAGGAGAUUACACUGGAGACUUUCCUCCCAGACUUCUCUCCAAUGGAUAGUGAGACUGCAGUAAAGAGUAUCCUAUGGUAUAUGGGUUCUUCUAAAUCCUAAUCUAAUUUGCUGCUAACAGCCUGAGUGAUGGAGACCCGAACCUGGAGUCAGCUGGACCUAUGUUCAAAUACUGGCUUGGAUAUUAAAUAACUAUGUAAAGCUGGACAAAUCAUUUAAGCUUCAAAAAAUUUCUUCAUCUGUAAAAUGAGAAUAAUAAUAAUAGCUAUGGUAAUUACCUCUCAGAGUUCUUUUUUUUUAAAUAUAUUUUAUUUGAUCAUUUCCAAGCAUUAUUCGUUAAAGACAUAGAUCAUUUUCUUUUCCUCCCCCCCACCCCCCAUAGCUGACGCAUAAAUCCACUGGGCAUUAGAUGUUUUCUUGAUUUGAACCCAUUGCUUUGUUGAUAAUAUUUGCAUUAGAGUGUUCAUUUAGAGUCUUUCCUCUGUCAUGUCCCCUCAACCGCUGUAUUCAGGCAGUUGCUUUUCCUCGGUGUUUCCACUCCCAUAGUUUGUCCUUUGCUUAUGAAUAGUGUUUUUUUCUCCUGGAUCCCUGCAAAUUGUUCAGGGACAUUACACCGCCAUUAAUGGAGACGUCCAUUACGUUCGAUUAUACCACAGUGUAUUAGUCUCUGUGUACAAUGUUCUCCUGGUUCUGCUCCUCUCGCUCUGCAUCACUUCCUGGAGGUUGUUCCAGUCUCCAUGGAACUCCUCCACUUUAUUAUUCCUUUUAGCACAAUAGUAUUCCAUCACCAACAUAUACCACAAUUUGCUCAGCCAUUCCCCAAUUGAUGGGCAUCCCCUCGUUUUCCAGUUUUGGGCCAC
RNAcentral lists this long non-coding RNA (1427 nucleotides) under Monodelphis domestica (gray short-tailed opossum). Its description in RNAcentral is "lncRNA (ENSMODG00000039501.1)". Lineage: Eukaryota; Metazoa; Chordata; Mammalia; Didelphimorphia; Didelphidae. The record is from RNAcentral.